GAUGAACGCUGGCGGCGUGCCUAACACAUGCAAGUCGAACGGAAAGGCCCUGCUCUUGUGGGGUGCUCGAGUGGCGCACGGGUGAGUAACACGUGAGUAACCUGCCCUUGACUUUGGGAUAACAUCAGGAAACAGGGGAUCAUACCGGAUAGGAGCUCCUGCUGCAUGGUGGGGGUUGGAAAGAGUCGGCGGUUGGGGAUGGACUCGCGGCUUAUGAGCUUGUUGGGGGGGUAGUGGUUUACCAAGGCUUUGACGGGUAGCCUGCCUGAGAGGGUGACCAGCCACCGUGCGCCUGAGAUACGCCCCAGACGCCUACGGGCGGCAGAAGUGGGAAAUAUUGCACAAUGGCCGGAAGCCUGAGGCAGCAACGCUGCGUGCGGAAUGACGGCCUUUUGGUUGUAAACCGCUGUGGAAUGUGACGAAGCCUGCGUGACGGUAAUGGGUAAAGAAGCACCGGCUAACUACGUG
This 468-nucleotide ribosomal RNA is filed under the name uncultured bacterium. Its description in RNAcentral is "partial 16S ribosomal RNA". It matches the Rfam family "Bacterial small subunit ribosomal RNA", at positions 28 to 507 of the family's 1533-position model. The record is from RNAcentral.